UACACUCCUGCGGGAGGCAGCAGUGGGGAAUUUUGGACAAUGGGCGAAAGCCUGAUCCAGCAAUGCCGCGUGAGUGAAGAAGGCCUUCGGGUUGUAAAGCUCUUUUGUCAGGGAAGAAACGGUGAGAGCUAAUAUCUCUUGCUAAUGACGGUACCUGAAGAAUAAGCACCGGCUAACUACGUGCCAGCAGCCGCGGUAAUACGUAGGGUGCAAGCGUUAAUCGGAAUUACUGGGCGUAAAGCGUGCGCAGGCGGUUUUGUAAGUCUGAUGUGAAAUCCCCGGGCUCAACCUGGGAAUUGCAUUGGAGACUGCAAGGCUAGAAUCUGGCAGAGGGGGGUAGAAUUCCACGUGUAGCAGUGAAAUGCGUAGAUAUGUGGAGGAACACCGAUGGCGAAGGCAGCCCCCUGGGUCAAGAUUGACGCUCAUGCACGAAAGCGUGGGGAGCAAACAGGAUUAGAUACCCGAGUAGUCCC
Molecule: ribosomal RNA, 473 nt
Filed under: uncultured organism
Description: partial 16S ribosomal RNA
Rfam family: Bacterial small subunit ribosomal RNA
Source: RNAcentral